Molecule: long non-coding RNA, 989 nt
Organism: Nerophis ophidion (straightnose pipefish)
Lineage: Eukaryota; Metazoa; Chordata; Actinopteri; Syngnathiformes; Syngnathidae
Exons: 2
Source: RefSeq, a predicted model, not a curated record
ACAUGAUGUUCUUUACAGGUGUAUGUAAACUUUUGACCAGGACCGUACCUGACUAAGACACUGGAGGGCUGCUUGCACAUGAGCCUUGAAGCCAAGCUGAACCUGUUUGGAGACUUAGUCUUAGACUAGUCAGGAAGUAGAAGAGCAGAAUUCCCAGCUGCAAAGAUGUGAUAUGAGUGAAGAUGGACUUCCUUCACCAGAGUGAGGUGUGGGCUUAGCAUGAGCAGCGUAAGCAGCUCACGGUGCGUUUUGUGCUCCGCCAGCUGGUGACGGUGGUAACCAGCUCUCAGAGAGACGUGAAGGCUGAAGGCUGAAGGUUGAAGGCUGAGUGACACACAGCACAGAUGCUUUGUGCACUGGAACACAGAGAGAUGUCUCCAUCGCUGAGGGACCUCAUCACACUUGGACUUUUCUUUCACAUCUGCACAAUUUACAUGAUGUCUUCUUUGGCUGUUUAAGGCUGAGAAAACACCUUCAAUCUGCAUCUUUCAACAAUAUUUUGCCAGUGAAUCAUGUUGAUGUUGAUCUUUGUGUCCAUGUAGUUGUGAUGUCAUCAUUUGGGGCUCAUGUGUCAUCACAUUGACAAGGAUUUCUUCUUUCCUUUUCAAACCAAUAGACAGCUGCUUAUCAGUGAAUAUCACCUUGUGUCACAUCUCAUCAUUAUUUUUACUAAUAUUUUGCAACAUUAGUACCAUUUUUUCAGUACUGUUGUAUGUUAAUGUUAAUUGUUUUUGAUGUAACAUUUAAGAAUGUUGAUUAUGAGAACUGCUGUCCAGUUGUUAUAUCUUGUUUUCUGAUGACAUUAGUCUCAUUUGCAAUGCAAUUGCACUUCCAAGACCAUUAGAUGGCAGCACUCUAUAACUAUUUAUGCUAUGUUGUCAAACUAGAAAGUAGCUUUUUUUCCAGGAAGAAUAAUUAGUUAAGUUGCGCCCUACAAACUGUCAAUACUGUAAAAAUAGUUCUCAUUACACAAAACUGUAAAAUUCAAA